This 238-nucleotide long non-coding RNA is filed under the name Carica papaya (papaya). RNAcentral describes it as "long non-coding RNA (CPAP_LNC011558)". The record is from RNAcentral. Lineage: Eukaryota; Viridiplantae; Streptophyta; Magnoliopsida; Brassicales; Caricaceae.
UAUUUUUAAAAUUGAGUAUGGGAUUAGACCAAAUUUUGAUCCACAAAUCUAUGUUUGACCUAUUGGCUCCAUUAGACUUACUCUCAAACCCUUUUGAGUUCCUAAUCUCUUAAACUAUUCCGAUCCAUAUUCAUUUUAGGCCCCAUGAGGCCCAUUACCUUAACCCGAACCCGGGAGGGGUCCAUUAACAAACUUGGGCCCAAUAGGGUCCAUCAACCUAAUAUGGACCCGAUGGGUG